This 71-nucleotide transfer RNA is filed under the name Ictidomys tridecemlineatus (thirteen-lined ground squirrel). RNAcentral's name for it is "Spermophilus tridecemlineatus (thirteen-lined ground squirrel) tRNA". It matches the Rfam family "tRNA". From Rfam's summary of the family: Transfer RNA (tRNA) molecules are approximately 80 nucleotides in length. Their secondary structure includes four short double-helical elements and three loops (D, anti-codon, and T loops). Lineage: Eukaryota; Metazoa; Chordata; Mammalia; Rodentia; Sciuridae. The record is from Rfam by way of RNAcentral.
GGGGUGGUAGCUCAGUGGUAGAGCACCCACCCAGCGUGUGUGAGGCCCUGGGUUCGGUCCUCAGCACCCCA